This 326-nucleotide ribosomal RNA is filed under the name uncultured eukaryote. RNAcentral describes it as "partial 18S ribosomal RNA". It matches the Rfam family "Eukaryotic small subunit ribosomal RNA", at positions 1470 to 1796 of the family's 1831-position model. The record is from RNAcentral.
CCCUUAGAUGUUCUGGGCCGCACGCGCGCUACACUGAUGCAUUCAACAAGCCUAGCCUUGACCGAGAGGUCCGGGUAAUCUUUGAAACUGCAUCGUGAUGGGGCUAGAUUAUUGCAAUUAUUAAUCUUCAACGAGGAAUGCCUAGUAAGCGUGAUUCAUCAAAUCGCGUUGAUUACGUCCCUGCCCUUUGUACACACCGCCCGUCGCUCCUACCGAUUGAAUGUGUUGGUGAGGAGCUCGGAUUGGCAGCAGUUGGUGGUUCGCCACCGGCUAUUGCUGAGAAGUCCUCCAAACCGCCCCAUUUAGAGGAAGGAGAAGACGUAACA